GGUAGCAGGGUUGGCCCUGUCCCCCAAGUUCAGUGAGAGCUCCCAGCUAGGAGGUUUAGGCCUAAGGGCCAGCCAGAACCCUUGAGAUCCAGAGAGACCUCAAUGAAGAGAGGCAUUUAAGAAGGCCCCUAUCUCCAGAACGAGAGAUGAGGGUCUUUGUCCUGCUCAGCCUUUUUAGCUGGGACCCCAGAAUUGCUCUAGACCUUGGAUUUCCGAUCUGUUAAGUGAAACAAACAAACAAACAACCGGUUGGUCUGAUGGGUUGUUGCGCAAAUAACUAAGAAAUAACUUGUGAGACACUUGCUCUAUGUCAGGCCUCUGUAUGGAGCCACCUGCCAGGUAGUCAUAAGGGCCCAGGAUCUUGAAGUCCCUCCAUGGAUAGCCCUUUCUACUGGGUGAUCCCAGGACAUUCAGAAGUAUUUAUGGAGGAGUGAUGAAGACUCAGCAUGACACCAUGUCACAGGUGAAGGACUCGGAAGGGCAGGUGGACACGCUCUGUGCCUACUGUAUGGGUCCUGUGCUUAGGAAUUCUGCUCCUGGGCUCCAGACAUCCAGUUAUUCAUCCAUUCAUCCACUCAUUCAUUUCCCAAUGCAGCCAACACUCACUGGCCCCCAGCAUGUGCCCAGCACUGUGGCUUCCUCAGUGAGCCUGACACCCCCAGGUCUUGGCCCUUGUGGAGCUCACAACCACUGGGUGACCUGAAAGGGCAUGGCUCUAGGGAUGGGGGCUCCAGGAUAAUCAGCCACUUCAUUAAAACUUGUCUGUAUUUGAAAGAAAUAAGGGAAAAAAAGACUUGCUU
Molecule: long non-coding RNA, 800 nt
Filed under: Marmota monax (woodchuck)
Lineage: Eukaryota; Metazoa; Chordata; Mammalia; Rodentia; Sciuridae
Source: RNAcentral